UUCCUGCAACUUAUUCUCUUGUCUUUCAAAUGCCCCUUGGCAAUCAGUAUUCUACCUGACCGUUUGAUCUCUUUUUGUUUUCGGUUCAGGCAUUUCUUGUAUUGUUUUUCCUUUUCUUUUCUUUUCUUUUUUUUCUUAUUUUUUUUCCUGUUUUUUUUAGCAGGGUCAACCUCGAUUCCUCUUUCGCUCACAAUAAGCCUCAGCAACUUUACCGGACAACACUCCACUAGUGCACUGAUUCGGACUCAACCUCGGUCUGAGUAGUCUCAACCGGUCCAACAACUUGCCCCGGUCCACCGGAUGCCCCUCUCCUGUUUGGGACUUUGCCAUCAUGUCAUUAACAUGGCAUUCGCUUUCACGAUGAAUCAUAUCAUGAAACAAAGUCAC
Molecule: long non-coding RNA, 387 nt
Filed under: Lathyrus oleraceus (garden pea)
Lineage: Eukaryota; Viridiplantae; Streptophyta; Magnoliopsida; Fabales; Fabaceae
Description: Pisum sativum (pea) long non-coding RNA (PSAT_LNC025539)
Source: RNAcentral